ACAUAAACAAACAUAUCAUAUUCAAGAUUUGAGUACCAAUGACCCCACAUUAUCUAUGUCUUUCGUAAACUUUUCAUUUCCGCAAUCAAGAAUGCAUAAUAGACCAAGUUUCAGAAAAGAAUUUUCAACUGAACAUUAUCCAGAUAUGAAUAAACCACACAGAUAUAAGAAAAAGUACUUGACCAUAAACUAUAAAAUUCUUGCAAGUUCAGAGUUUUCUAAAUGUACAUUAUCCUCUUCAUUCUCAAAUUUCAACCAUUCACUGCUUCUGUUUUUCUCAAGCUUAAGAUGCAUAUUUCUUAUGAAGAGUAGAUGACAGUGUG
RNAcentral lists this unclassified non-coding RNA (323 nucleotides) under Hevea brasiliensis (rubber tree). The record is from RNAcentral. Lineage: Eukaryota; Viridiplantae; Streptophyta; Magnoliopsida; Malpighiales; Euphorbiaceae.